This 316-nucleotide ribosomal RNA is filed under the name uncultured Bulleidia sp. RNAcentral's name for it is "partial 16S ribosomal RNA". Lineage: Bacteria; Bacillati; Bacillota; Erysipelotrichia; Erysipelotrichales; Erysipelotrichaceae. The record is from RNAcentral.
GGAGUCUGGGCCGUGUCUCAGUCCCAAUGUGGCCGUUCACCCUCUCAGGCCGGCUAUGCAUCAUCGCCUUGGUGGGCCGUUACCUCACCAACUAGCUAAUGCACCGUAAGCCCAUCUACUUGUGUUUCAAACCUUUAAUAACAGGAGGAUGCCCUCCCGUUACCUAUCCGGUAUUAGCGCCCGUUUCCAGGUGUUAUCCCAGUCCUUGUAGGCAGGUUGCUUACGUAUUACUCACCCGUUCGCCACUAGCUUAACCAAGCAAGCUUGGUCUCGCUCGUUCGACUUGCAUGUAUUAGGCACGCCGCCAGCGUUCAUC